This is a long non-coding RNA of Panthera uncia (snow leopard), 553 nucleotides long. RefSeq lists it as uncharacterized. Lineage: Eukaryota; Metazoa; Chordata; Mammalia; Carnivora; Felidae. The transcript has 2 exons. The record is from RefSeq and is a predicted model, not a curated record.
CGGGGGCGUCCCGAGCCGGACACGCAGGGCGGCCCCCCGACCCAACCCAGGACUCCUGGGAGGCCGAGCACCCCGAGGCUGGGAACCGGACGAGUGAGAGGAGGGACAGAGGCAAGCUGUGUUGUAGCGAAAACGGGAGGAAAAACCCAUCAUGGGAGGACAACCUAAUACCACCUUAAGACAUCCCUGCAGCAACCCACGGCCAAAGUCAAAGACGAGCUGCUCACGCCCACCACGUGCUCAAGCUUUUGUACUUUCCCCCCAACCUUCCACACCCUUUGAGGAAAACUGGCGCUCUUUGUACCCCCGGCUGGCCUUCCCGGGGUGUAGGACGCUCAGAGCCAGAACCCCGGUGGUUCCGGGUGAACCACGAUGGUUGAAAGUCCUAUUGGUCGUCACGGAGAUGUGCUGUGUGUGUAAACACACGUCAGAUUUGAAAAGACUCAGUAUGAAGAAAAGAAUGUAAAAUAACUCAUUCUGCUUUAGGUUGACUAGUGAGAUAAUUUUUUUAUAUACUGGGUCUGGGUGAAAUAAAGUAUGUUAUCCAAAUGAA